Molecule: ribosomal RNA, 468 nt
Filed under: uncultured bacterium
Lineage: Bacteria
Description: partial 16S ribosomal RNA
Rfam family: Bacterial small subunit ribosomal RNA
Source: RNAcentral
GACGAACGCUGGCGGCGGGCUUAACACAUGCAAGUCGAACGGAAAGGCCCUGCUUUUGUGGGGUGCUCGAGGGGCGAACGGGGGAGUAACAGGUGAGUAACCUGCCCUUGACUUUGGGAUAACUUCAGGAAACUGGGGCUAAUACCGUAUAGGAUCUCCUGCUGCAUGGAGGGGGUUGGAAAGUUUCGGCGGUUGGGGCUGGACUCGCGGCUUAUCAGCUUGUUGGUUGGGUAGGGGCUUACCAAGGCAUUGACGGGUAGCCGGCCUGGGAGGGUGACCGGCCACCUUGGGACUGCGAUACGGCCCAGUCUCCUACGGGGGGCAGCAGUGGCGAAUCUUGCACAGUGGGCCGAAGCCUGAUGCAGCGACGCCGCGUGCGGAAUGACGGCCUUCGGGUUGUAAACCGCUUUCGCCUGUGACGAAGCGUGAGUGACGGUAAUGGGUAAAGAAGCACCGGCUAACUACGUG